UACGAGGGAUGCAAGCGUUAUCCGGACUUAUUGGGCGUAAAGCGUCCGCAGGUGGCUCUGUAAGUCUGUCGUUAAAGAAUGGGGCUCAACCCCGUACAGGCGAUGGAAACUACAAGGCUAGAGUUUGGUAGGGGUCACGGGAAUUCCUAGUGUAGCGGUGAAAUGCGUAGAUAUUAGGAAGAACACCAGCGGCGAAAGCGCGUGACUGGGCCAGUACUGACACUCAUGGACGAAAGCUAGGGGAGCGAAAGGG
RNAcentral lists this ribosomal RNA (253 nucleotides) under uncultured bacterium. RNAcentral describes it as "partial 16S ribosomal RNA". It matches the Rfam family "Bacterial small subunit ribosomal RNA", at positions 524 to 776 of the family's 1533-position model. The record is from RNAcentral.